This 455-nucleotide long non-coding RNA is filed under the name Podarcis lilfordi (Lilford's wall lizard). The record is from RNAcentral. Lineage: Eukaryota; Metazoa; Chordata; Lepidosauria; Squamata; Lacertidae.
GGCUUCCGGGGGGCGGCGCGAACGGCAAUGGCGGUCUUCUCCCGACGGGAGAGGAGGCUCCGCUGAAAUCGGGUCGUCCGCUACGGCGAAGCGGAGACCCAACGAGGAAAACCCCAGGCAGCAAGAGCCUGGGGUCCUGAGGCUCGGCGGGCGCCACGAGCAGCCCUCCAACUGCAGAAGGAGCCUCGUAAGGGGCUCCGGAGCGUGGAGGGGGGUUGCGGUGCUGAGAGCCGUUUCACAGUCAGCGGAGUGAAGCCGCGCUGCUGCUGCCGGUGAGCGCUGAUCCCUUUUCCUGUCAAAAUUCGGACUUGGAAGAAAAACAACUUAUUCGUGAGUAAAGACUGAAUCACUUGGAAUUACAAAUUUUAAAUGAGAAGGUUUAAUUCGGCUUGAACUUGGCUGAAAGCGGAGAGACGUGGAAACAGGAAGUCCGUCUUCCGCAGCCAUUGAACUUG